Xiphophorus couchianus (Monterrey platyfish) is the source of this 2924-nucleotide long non-coding RNA. RefSeq lists it as uncharacterized. NCBI's taxonomy places the organism in Eukaryota, Metazoa, Chordata, Actinopteri, Cyprinodontiformes, Poeciliidae. The transcript is spliced from 2 exons. The record is from RefSeq and is a predicted model, not a curated record.
UUUCAUAUUUUUUUUUCAUAUUUUUCGCAUUACGUUGAGUAGCUGUCUGCACAGACGGGCACAUUAUACAUCACAAGCCCAUCUCAAAAGAUUUUUUUUCGACGAGCUUUGAUUGGUCAUUUUUCCAUUUGCUUUUUGGAAAGGUCACACUCGGAGGCUUAACCAUAUCUCUCUGAAGCUUCGGAACUGGCUCUCACCCGAAAUAACGAAACUGUUGGACCAUGGGCGGAGUCAGCUGACAUUUUUACAUUGACAUUCAAAAAGAAGAGAACCGCAUAAAAACUCCUAUGUAGCUGGCUGGUGUCGGGGGGUCUUUUCUUUUCCUUUGUGCAUUUUCAUCCCGGUAUCUGUCCUCUCCCCUGCCAACACGACAAUAAAACUCUCCCCAGCACGACGUUCAUUACAGAAUACAAUGUUUUCACAGUGGAAGUGAAUCCUCCGAUUGGCACGGCACUUAGAGUCGUGAGUCAUACGGAGGCGACUGGGGCGGGAGAGCAAAUGAGAAGUGAUAUGAGCGAAUGCUGUCGCAAGUAGGCUCUCUCAAGUGUGGAAGGUUUUAAACGGAGCGUACGGAGUCACAUUAACCUUAAAAAAGAAAUUCACAAUGAACAAAGCGGAAACAUGCUUUGGAUUUUUGUGGAGAGGGAAAAUGUAAUUACAGAUGGGGAAAUAUUAUUCAUUUAAAUUACAGUCAGGACAAAACAUAUUCGCAGCCGAGGCAGAUUUACAUUUAGAAAUUUCAUUUAAACAAGAAAUGCAUCUUUCUCAAAAAAAAGAAAAACAAUCCAAAAAUACAAUGCAUCAAAUUUAAGCAUCUGCCAUUUGUCGUCACCCCAGUCUGACUUGCUGUCUAAGUCAACUAGUGGGAUGAAUAAUUUUAGACUUAACUGUAAUGAGAGGUCAUAAAAUAUCACAGACAUGUGAGACAAAAGAAUUGAUGCAUUUGUUUUUACUUGUUUACUAAAAUAAGGCCAUUUCUGUUGUGUACUUGAAAGAAUCCACAGCGAAAUCCAAACAUUAAAUAAAAUCCAUUACGUAUGUAUGUAUGUAUGUAUGUAUGUAUGUAUGUAUGUAUGUAUGUAUGUUGGAUGUCAUUUUUGAGAUGCACAAUAUUCUCUUAGUCACUCUAAAGAUAAGACAUUUAAAGAGACUUUUGACAUAAUUAAGAAAAAAAAAUUAAUAUUGAGCAUUUUUAAGUAGUUAUGUUUCUUUGCUGUAUAAAUUUGUUUAAGUUAUCUUGACUGAAGUGAACUGAAAACGUGCUAAACAGUGACUUUUAAAACCUGGAUAUUCAUACAUACUGAACCUUGAAGCUAACAACAUACACCGAAUAUUUUUCAAGAGUACAUUUUUGUCAAAUUCACACUUAAAAAUAUUUCACAACCUUUCAAAAAUAAUGGCAUGCUUUAUUACAAAACAUCGUUUGCAGGUAAGCUAUUUAGCGCCGCUUUUGAAAAGAAACAAAGCUAUUCCUUUACCAUGCCAACCAACUAUUUUAGGCAUUUUAAGAUACUAAAAUAAAAAAACAAAAGCUUAGCUAAGACUGAUUCAUUUUUGUCUCUCUUUAAAAAAAAAGAUCUCCCUUCCUGUUCUCAUUAUAACAGGGAUAUUCAAGGGAGCUAGAGAACAUCGAGUCCUCAGAGUUAGCAACAGGGUGUUAGCGGCAGAAUAUUAGGGGGAAAAAAACACCUGAGUGAAAGGAUGUAAAUGAGUUUGAAGUGAACUGUGAUGACUAGAGGAUUGGGUCAGAGGAUGACCAUAACUGCUGCUGCUGGGUGCAGGAGUGGUAAGUGGCCAUAAAAAAAAAGGUUCCUGGAAUAGGCAAUAGUGAGAGGAAACCGCAUUGUGUGGUCCAGGUUAACAGAGGACCUACUGCAGCUGAAGUUGUGGAAUUAAUUACUUGGGUAACUUUGCACUUUUUUGUAGUUACUAUCUGUAAUAUUACCCAGAACUCUAGCAGAAAUAUCCUAUAUCACCAUUAGCUUGCUAAAAAGCUAGCGGCUCCUUUGUGUUAACCUGAAACUAAAUCUGCUGCAGCAUUUUGAAUAUGUGACGAGCCUCUGUGUACACAGUUCACUGACCUCUCUGCUGAAAGAACCCAGCUCUGUCCAGCUCUGAGUUUUUCCCCCUUUCAGUGUUUUCCCUCCAUUCCAUUUGUAGAUUUUCUUUAGAUCAUGUCAAUCUUUGGAGCCCCUUGAGGAAUUCCCGGCCCUCACCCGGUCCCACAUCGGGUGGGGGAGGUUAUCUGCUUAAUGUUUUUAUUUGUUCAAGAGGAAACUUAAAAUUCCACCAGGGACUUUAUUCCCAGAGGGCCCCUCAAGCCACUGUUACUGAAACAUUCUAAGAAAAGCCAAAUUAAUCACAAAAAACAACAUUUAUCCACACAGAUGCACAAACACGCUAGCUAGACCAUGGGCUGCGUUUUAAUUGCAGAGACAAGAACAUUGACCCGUCCGUUACAAUCAUUGAUCACAUUAUAAUAUACCAUAUGGGACAAUAAAGAGUCACAAAUAAACAUUGGCUCUUUGACAAACAUAAGCAAUGUAAGCUGGGUAUAUAAUAUUAACAAAAGGAGAUAUCCAACAGUUCUCUGUUACGGUUACAUUGCCAACCUGUCUGUAGAGUACAAAGACCUUUGGUCGGUUAGAUUUUUUUGAGGAAAAACCGCUCUGCAAUGCCGUCAUCACAUGAGUUUUAGACAGUAUGAAGUGUCAAGGCACAUAGAAAAAAAAGUAACAGCACGAUUAAAAAAGUACAUAUCCACAGCUGUACACCACUGGAAACAGACACUCUGGAGCCACUCGCCUGAUGCUGAAGGUUGUACCAGUUCUAAAAUGCGAGGCAAUGGCUCAAGUGACAGGUCAGGACGUUUGAGGUGGAGUUGUGUUUAAAAGGUAAAAUCCAUUAACAUCUUUCCUGCAGUU